This 198-nucleotide ribosomal RNA is filed under the name uncultured bacterium. RNAcentral's name for it is "partial 16S ribosomal RNA". It matches the Rfam family "Bacterial small subunit ribosomal RNA", at positions 328 to 539 of the family's 1533-position model. The record is from RNAcentral.
ACGCUCGACACCUACGAGAGGCAGCAGUGGGGAAUAUUGCACAAUGGGGGAAACCCUGAUGCAGCGACGCCGCGUGAGCGAAGAAGUAUUUCGGUAUGUAAAGCUCUAUCAGCAGGGAAGAAACUGACGGUACCUGACUAAGAAGCACCGGCUAAAUACGUGCCAGCAGCCGCGGUAAUCUGAGCGGGCUGGCAAGGC